RNAcentral lists this ribosomal RNA (1540 nucleotides) under Staphylococcus aureus. RNAcentral's name for it is "16S ribosomal RNA". It matches the Rfam family "Bacterial small subunit ribosomal RNA". The record is from RNAcentral. Lineage: Bacteria; Bacillati; Bacillota; Bacilli; Caryophanales; Staphylococcaceae.
AGAGUUUGAUCCUGGCUCAGGAUGAACGCUGGCGGCGUGCCUAAUACAUGCAAGUCGAGCGAACGGACGAGAAGCUUGCUUCUCUGAUGUUAGCGGCGGACGGGUGAGUAACACGUGGAUAACCUACCUAUAAGACUGGGAUAACUUCGGGAAACCGGAGCUAAUACCGGAUAAUAUUUUGAACCGCAUGGUUCAAAAGUGAAAGACGGUCUUGCUGUCACUUAUAGAUGGAUCCGCGCUGCAUUAGCUAGUUGGUAAGGUAACGGCUUACCAAGGCAACGAUGCAUAGCCGACCUGAGAGGGUGAUCGGCCACACUGGAACUGAGACACGGUCCAGACUCCUACGGGAGGCAGCAGUAGGGAAUCUUCCGCAAUGGGCGAAAGCCUGACGGAGCAACGCCGCGUGAGUGAUGAAGGUCUUCGGAUCGUAAAACUCUGUUAUUAGGGAAGAACAUAUGUAUAAGUAACUGUGCACAUCUUGACGGUACCUAAUCAGAAAGCCACGGCUAACUACGUGCCAGCAGCCGCGGUAAUACGUAGGUGGCAAGCGUUAUCCGGAAUUAUUGGGCGUAAAGCGCGCGUAGGCGGUUUUUUAAGUCUGAUGUGAAAGCCCACGGCUCAACCGUGGAGGGUCAUUGGAAACUGGAAAACUUGAGUGCAGAAGAGGAAAGUGGAAUUCCAUGUGUAGCGGUGAAAUGCGCAGAGAUAUGGAGGAACACCAGUGGCGAAGGCGACUUUCUGGUCUGUAACUGACGCUGAUGUGCGAAAGCGUGGGGAUCAAACAGGAUUAGAUACCCUGGUAGUCCACGCCGUAAACGAUGAGUGCUAAGUGUUAGGGGGUUUCCGCCCCUUAGUGCUGCAGCUAACGCAUUAAGCACUCCGCCUGGGGAGUACGACCGCAAGGUUGAAACUCAAAGGAAUUGACGGGGACCCGCACAAGCGGUGGAGCAUGUGGUUUAAUUCGAAGCAACGCGAAGAACCUUACCAAAUCUUGACAUCCUUUGACAACUCUAGAGAUAGAGCCUUCCCCUUCGGGGGACAAAGUGACAGGUGGUGCAUGGUUGUCGUCAGCUCGUGUCGUGAGAUGUUGGGUUAAGUCCCGCAACGAGCGCAACCCUUAAGCUUAGUUGCCAUCAUUAAGUUGGGCACUCUAAGUUGACUGCCGGUGACAAACCGGAGGAAGGUGGGGAUGACGUCAAAUCAUCAUGCCCCUUAUGAUUUGGGCUACACACGUGCUACAAUGGACAAUACAAAGGGCAGCGAAACCGCGAGGUCAAGCAAAUCCCAUAAAGUUGUUCUCAGUUCGGAUUGUAGUCUGCAACUCGACUACAUGAAGCUGGAAUCGCUAGUAAUCGUAGAUCAGCAUGCUACGGUGAAUACGUUCCCGGGUCUUGUACACACCGCCCGUCACACCACGAGAGUUUGUAACACCCGAAGCCGGUGGAGUAACCUUUUAGGAGCUAGCCGUCGAAGGUGGGACAAAUGAUUGGGGUGAAGUCGUAACAAGGUAGCCGUAUCGGAAGGUGCGGCUGGAUCACCU